CGGCCAGUUUCUUCUCUAAUUGCUCCAUUUUGUUUCUCCGGCUUGCCGGAAUCACUUUCAUCGAUAUGUUGGAACCCAAUAGGUAUGCCUCUCCCUCUUUUCAUUUUAUUUCUCGAUUUUAUUCUUAUUUUGUUCCUCUCAUUUCAGUUUAGUUUAGGAAGUAUGUGUUCAAAUUGCUUUGUGUUAAGCGUCUGAAAAUAAGAGAAUUUAAAAAUAAAAAAAAUAAAAAGACAGAAAUGAAAGAGAGAGAAAUUUUUGUAGUGAUCUUAGCUUCUGUUGCCUACUUCGCAUUUUUCUGGGUUUCUACGAGUUGUUUGAGGUCGAAACACCGCUGUUAAUUGCUGGAAUUGUUGCUGAACUCCAUUAGUUGCUUUCUUCAGACCUUUAUUUGGUCAUUCCUGUUAUAUUCCUUGCCAUUACGUAUGUUCAUAUUCAUCUGAAAAUUUUUAUUCAAGUCUAUAACAUGAAAAUUUGGUUUGUCUAUGCUGUUUUUGUGUUUAAUCAUCUAGAUCCAGCAUGUUUGAUUGCUAAAGUUGUUCAGAUCUCACUCUCUGUUAAUAUCUAAAGUUGUUAGUACGCUUUAACUGAAUGUUUAGGCGUAUUAAGUCUUGCUGAUGAAAUGUCACGUCUGUUUGUUGAUGUUUGAUUACUUGAAACCGAAGGUUCAUCUUUAAGUUGAUGUUAAAUGUGGCAAACUUGUGCAUCUAACCACCAGCUGGUCAGAUUCAUUUGUGAAAAUCCAGAUCAACAGGGUUAACCACAAGAAGUAUAUGAUUGGGGGAGGUCUUGUUGUUGGCUCUUCCCAGUCGAUGCAAGCAGUAGUAGAUAACAUGGAUUCAUAGUUUAUAGGCUAAAUUGUAAAAUUAAUUGGUUGUAUUACAGAAGUAAUCACGUUGUGUAUUGAUCACUGUAUGUGGAAGAUACCUUUACAUGAUGAAUUGCGUUGUCAG
This 950-nucleotide long non-coding RNA is filed under the name Nicotiana tabacum (common tobacco). RNAcentral's name for it is "long non-coding RNA (NTAB_LNC007701)". Lineage: Eukaryota; Viridiplantae; Streptophyta; Magnoliopsida; Solanales; Solanaceae. The record is from RNAcentral.